GACGAACGCUGGCGGCGUGCUUAACACAUGCAAGUCGAACGGUGAACCUCUUCGGAGGGGAUCAGUGGCGAACGGGUGAGUAAACGGUGGGCACCCGCCCCCCGCCUCUGGGAUAACUCCAGAAAUUUGGGGCUAAAACGGGAGUUCCACCCUUCCCCGCAGGGGUGGGGUGGGAAGGGUUUUCCGGCUGGGGUGGGGCCCGCGGCCUUUCAGCUUGUUGGUGGGGUAGUGGCCUACCAAGGCGACGACGGGUAGCCGGCCUGAGAGGGUGACCGGCCACACUGGGACUGAGACACGGCCCAGACUCCUACGGGAGGCAGCAGUGGGGAAUAUUGCGCAAUGGGCGGAAGCCUGACGCAGCGACGCCGCGUGGGGGAUGACGGCCUUCGGGUUGUAAACCUCUUUCAGCAGGGACGAAGCGCAAGUGACGGUACCUGCAGAAGAAGCACCGGCCAACUACGUG
This 463-nucleotide ribosomal RNA is filed under the name uncultured bacterium. Its description in RNAcentral is "partial 16S ribosomal RNA". It matches the Rfam family "Bacterial small subunit ribosomal RNA", at positions 28 to 507 of the family's 1533-position model. The record is from RNAcentral.